GUUGAUUCGAUGCACGAUUACAAUCAAUUCUAUGCUCCGCGUGCCGAGUUCUAAAGAAUUGCAUAUAAAACUUUAAUGUCAUUGCAGAUCUAUCUCACUAAAUACAAUGUUUUGGAAAAUUGUUGGCUUCUAUAAUCAUAUGCUGUUGGUACAUUCAAUUAAAAGCCAAUCCUAGAAAUCUAAUUGUGUAAAGGAAAUGUGAAGAGCAAACCAAAAAAAAAAAAAAAAAAUGGAAAAAAGGAAAUGGAAUCUUCAUUGAAUAUUGCAUCUGAGGCAGCCAACAUUAGGGCUCAAUAUCAACAUCAGGAGGAUAUUUUGGUAAUUGCACAGAACUGAAAACAUGUCUGGGAACUUGUUGCAGCGAGUAAGCAAGGCCCAUGAAACGACUGUCGUUUACCCUUGUUCUUGAGCUUGAAAAAAACCCUAAAUCUGCUGAUUACAAUAAGAAAGUUUCUCAUUAAUUUUAGUAAAACAGAAUAUGAAGAUGGAUUAAGAUCCUUAACGAGAAAUAAACAAAAAUAAUAUUUGCGAAUAAGAACAAAACUAAUCAUAUUUAAGGUACAAAAUCAACACCAAAACUGCUUCCUUAAACUGUAAAACCCUAGUUAAGGAAUUUGUAAAACUGUGCUGUUUUCCAGGAGCAGAAAGAGGUAUGCCUUUUCUGAUGCAGUUUAAGGUGAAAAUAUUUUUCAAAGAACAGAAAAUAAUUAACAGAUUAUAAUAGAGAAUAAUGAAAUUUGAUUGAUUGCUAAACAGAACUAAAAUCUAAAAUGAAAAUCAAAUCAUUUACUGAACAUAUAAGCUGCACUGGAUAAGAAAACAGUGGAAGGGAGCUCCCUUCAGUCCAAGUACAGAAAACUUAAGAUUCAACCUGACUCUCGCAUCAUUCAUUCAGUUACGAUGCAUAAUUAAUAAACUACACAGUAUUUGGAUGAAUGAGUCGACAGCAAAUUGAAUCCUACUGUCCCCCAUAACUGGACUGAAGAAAGCUCUUUUCUAAAGUUGCAUCAUCAAUAAUCAAUAAAAAUGAAAGUAGAACAAUUUCAAGCAUCUAUCCAUAGAAUAAAAAUGGAGAAUCUGCCACAGUCAACAACGCAUAAAAAAUCCCAAGGACUAAAUUUUGGAGCUCCCUUUUACUUUUUAGCUUAAUAUAUAUUGGAAGUUGUCUUUAGGAAAGAGUGGUUAGAAGGAGGAAGGAGAAAGAGGAAGGCUAUGGCUUUUCUUUGGGGUGAGGAGACGGAGCAAAAGCCUAAAGGGCUGGGAAAUUCACUUCAUCGCUU
RNAcentral lists this long non-coding RNA (1280 nucleotides) under Olea europaea subsp. europaea. The stretch from base 819 to 1006 matches the Rfam family "MIR159 microRNA precursor family". The record is from RNAcentral. Lineage: Eukaryota; Viridiplantae; Streptophyta; Magnoliopsida; Lamiales; Oleaceae.